UGUUAUGCUCCAUUUACCCCUUGAGCCAUCUCAUGACACACUUCCCCAACGUGCUCAGGCUGGAUGAGAGGAAAUGUUAAAUAAAAAGCGCGAUGACACCUCGACGCGGGAGGGAACGCGCGCUCCACGCAGAAUUAAGAGCGGCAGCAUAGGCUCAGAUGAAAACGCGUAUUAAUAUUUACAUUUCGCCAAUAAUUCAUGGAAACGUGUUUACUUUAUUAUUUUAUUUUUUCCGCCGCACACAUCAGUGCGUAUCAGCCUGUACCGACACUGCCUCCCGCGGCGCUCAUCAGCUCUCACCGCAGUGUGUGGAACCGAAGCCCACGGCCUGUCGCCGAAGAAUAGCGCUCGUUAAAUAUUCAUCCUCCAUUCCCAGUGGCACACUUUUCCUCCCCGCUGAGCGACCCCUGUUGCUUUUGAGCCUCUCCGCACACAGUUGGGAAAGCCGUGCGUAACCAGGACACGGAAACAUGUGACGGGGAAUUGUUGCACUGCAACUUUCCCGUAUUCGGCCCGCAGUCCAGGAGGAUGGAGGCACGAGACUACAGAGCCCUGGUGACGAGCGCCUUCAGAGGCCGGGUGUGCCGGAGGACAGGAAUCUACAUGGGGACCAGAUUUAGGCAGAGUAAACCCGCUUUGGCCAGGUGGACCUGUCCUCACACAGCUACUGAACCUGCACAUAGCACCGGCAGAAAGUCAACCAGGCAUAUCUAAAGCAGGAAUUCAGGAAGGCUAACACCAUUGCGAACUGCAGACAGGAAAUGGUACACUCCUAGCUUUUUGUCAAAAUGGCCGGCAAGAAAGACGCCAAGAAGGACGCAAAGAAGGCAAAGGCUGAAGCCGAGAAAAAGAAGGAGGAGGAAAAGAAGGCGAAAGAUGAUAAAAAGGGAGGAAAAGAUGACAAGAAAGGUGGAAAGGAUGAUAAAAAGAGCGGGAAAGAUGAUAAGAAAGGAGGAAAGGAUGAUAAGAAAGGAGGAAAGAAGGGAAAAGAGGAGCCACCCAAGGGGAAAGAUGAUGGAAAGAAAGGAAAAGACAAGGGGAAAGGUAAGAAAGUCGAGUCUGAGGAGGAAGAGGAUGAACUUUUGAGUGGUGAGGAAGAGGAAGAAGAGUUUAGUGAAGGAGAUGAAGACGAGGACUACUCAGAAGAUGACAGGAGAGGAAAGGGACGAGGAGGCAAAGGUGCUAAGGGAAAGAAAGGGGGGAAGUCUAGACGUGGAGACGAGUCUGAAGAAGAUGACGAGGAGGAUGAAGAUGAAGAUGAGGAGGAUGAGGAGGAUGAUUAUGGCAAAUCCAAAAAGAAAGCUAAAGGAGGGAAAUCUGAUGUAGAUGCAAAAAAGAAAAAAGCCAAAAAGAAAGAAGAACCUCCACCCGGGCCAACACGGGAAAUUCCAAGAAAAGGACUGAAAAACAUGUCGAGGAUGUUCAUGAAGUUUUCUGGCUUCAAAAGACGCAGGAACAGCAGAAAGAAGCUAAAAAGCACAUCGCGUUUGUUCCUAGGGUUAGGGAGGAGAAAGACCCGGCUUGCUAAGAAGAAACGUCGAAAGUCCAUGCUAAAGAACACGUCUCGAUUCAUGAUGAGAUUUAAGGCCAGCAAAAAGAGAAAAAAGGAGAAGGAGGCAGCAGCAAAUAGUGGAAAUAAGCCAACUUAUAUGCUGCUUCGUCUCGGAGGGAAUAAGUCAAGUGAGAAGAAGGGGGGCUUCUUCAAAGGCCUAUUUAAAAAAAAGGCGGGUGAUGGGCCCAGCGACGGCUUCAAGCUUCGAAGCGUGUUGCUAGGUAAAGUUGCAGCAGCAACUAACUGGCUAACCAAUCGUUUUCUGUCUACUAAGAUACGAGGGAAUUCGGGACGUAGAGGAUACAGAAGACAAGGCAAAGGUUAUCCCCGAGGUUACCUAAACGAUGGUUAUGAGGAAGAGAUGGAGGCUCUUGGAUACGGUCAGCGGCGUUCAUUGCAUCAGAAAGGCUACCAAGGCUAUGGCGAUGGUUAUGGGGAUCAUGGGCAGUUUGGCUACUACGACAAUGGCGGAGGGGAAGGAGACUAUCAAGACUUUGGGUACUAUGAAGAUGAAAGACUCUAUGAUUCAAAUGGCGAAUAUUAUGAAGGUGGAUUUUACGAUGAGGGCAUGGGGGACUACUAUAACCAUUAUUCCUCCGCUCUAGGUCACAGCCAGGAAGCAGAUUAUUAUGGCUACCAGCAACAAGCCAUGUAUGGUGAUGAGGGUCUGGACUAUUAUGCCAUAAUGGGUGAAGACCAAAUGUACGGAGGAGAGAUGGAUGGAUUCCUUGAGCCUCAGGCUUACUAUGAUGAAAAUGGUCAACUUGUUUACUGUGAUGAUGCACAAGGAGGUGGAUACUAUGAUGGACAGGCAGGAUAUUACGACGACCCGUACGCAGCAACCAUGGGAAUGCAAGGGGGAUUUCCAACAGACUAUCAACUCAGCUAUGGUGAUAGUAGCGUGCCCUACAAUGACUUCAGCUCACAGCUGGCCACUGGAUUCCUACAACCAGGACAACAGGCUUUUGGUUUUGGAGGGCAAGGGAUGAGUCAGGUACAGGGUCUCUAUGGGGACCAGUACACGGGUCAGUCAGAUCAAUAUGCAGAUGAUGCUGGUGUAGUUCAGGGAGGAGAAAUGACAUUCAGAGUGCCUAGACCUCAAGUUCGCCUGUUUGGAAAGGAGCGUCUAGAUGUGCCCCUGCCCCCUCCACCAACCUUGCCGCCAGAUCCAGAAUUUGAAGAUAUGUCAGAAAUCCAGUAUGAAGACCAGGUUCUUCUUGUACCUGGUCAGUCCAGUGGCAUUAUGUCACCCCAACAGCAUAUGAUGGCACCACAACAACAAAUGAGGAUGUCACCUCAACAGCAAAUAAUGUCACCUUCUCAGCAAAUGAUGAUGUCACCCCAACAACAAAUGAUGAUGUCACCCCAACAACAAAUGAUGUCAGCACAAGAACAAAUGGUGAUGUCUCCCCAUCAACAACUGCUGACACCACAACAACAAAUGAUGUCAGCACAAGAACAAAUGAUGAUGUCUACACAUCAACAAAUGCUGACACCACAACAACAAAUGAUAUCAGCCCAUGAACCAAUGAUGAUGCCCCCACAGACAGUGUCACCACAGCAGCAGAUGAUGUCACCACAGCAGCAGAUGAUGUCACCACAGCAGCAGAUGAUGUCACCACAGCAACAGAUGAUGUUACAAGAAAUGAAUAUGUCUCCAGUUAUGUCAUCAGAGCAAUUAAUGAUGUUGCAACAAGAACAAAGUCUGUCUCCCCAAAUGAUCCCAACACAAAUUAUGUCACCAGAGCAGCAGAUGAUGGUCUCUCAGCAACAGAUGAUGCCCCAGCAGAUAAUGUCACACCAGGAUAUGUUGACAGAACAAAUGAUGUCACCACAAGAGCAGAUAAUGUCACAGCAAAUUAUGUUGCCCCAGCAACAGGUGAUGUCACCACAAAUGAUUACUCCACAGCAGAUGAUGACAGACCCCAUGAUGAUGCCACAGCAGCAGGGUUAUGGCCCACCGUUAAUCCCCACUCCCACUGCUAUGAUUAUCAAGCAAGCAAAUAUGUCUCCCCUUCCUGCUCGACGGCUUCAGCCCUCUCCCACUCCUUCCCGGCGCUCUGUCAUCAUUCCCUCCCCACAGAUGCAACGCCAUCCUUCUGCCAUGACUUCCCCAGUGCCUUCUCCUAUGCUUCCCCGAAGAAUAAGCCCUUCCCCACAAGCAUCCAUGAGAGGUGGCUUCAUGAAUGCCCAUAGACCCCCUUCUGUAGUGUCAAGAAGGAUCUCGCCACCUUCCUCCCCACAGGCAUCUCCCCUUGCCCCUCGUCGAAUGCAAUCUCAUAGGUCACCGUCUCCUGUGGCUCGCAGACCAUCACCUCCUCAGUCUCCUCGUGCCUCAAUGAUGAGACAAAGUCGUCCAACGUCACCAAGAAUAUCAAUGAGGCAGCAUUCUCCACCUCCCUCACCUCGUUCUUCAAUGAGGAGACGAAGUCCUCCACCCUCACCACCUCCUGCUCGUAGCCAAUUUGGAGGCAGAAAGAUGCAUGGUUCACCCUCCCCACCCCUAUCCCCUGAUCAUGCAUCUGUAACUCUCUCUCCACAGCUUAGUAGAAGACCAUCUCCUUCUCCCUCUAUGUCUCAUCGCAGUUUUUCUCCUGCAGGGCCCCGUCCUGCCCAAUCAUCCCCAACCCUUUCUCGUCGCUCAACUAGGCUAAUCAGGGACCCCACCCCAUUGGCCAGGCCUAGGAUGGGCGGAAAUGUUCCUUUAGGUACAGUCAGACCCUCCCCUAUGGGGCUUAGAGGGCGUCCAGUUCCACCACCCACCCAGAAUGUGCGUCCAUUUCGUGCCUCUUCCAUAAGAAGCAAUAGGUCUUCAGUUCUCACCGUGGAUUCCUCCCUGCAUUCUUCCCCGUUCCACUCCCCUCACAUGGUCCACCGUGCCCCACUGGGAAGGAGAGAAUCUGGCCGAUUUCCUCCUCGGCCUAUAGCUCGAGGACGUCCCCUUAUGGCUCGGCAGUCUGUAAGAAGUAUGCCUCGUGCCUCUCCUUCUCCUUCCCUUAAACACAUGUCUCGUUCUGCAUCCCCGCGUCUCUCUCCUCGACUUUCUCGUCCAUCCUCCACCAUCCUUUUCCCCGAAGCUGCCCAUCCGCCCACAUUUCCCCCUGAAACCUUUGCACCCUAUGCUGAUGGCUAUAAUGAGGAGAUUCUUCAGGACAGCCCUUCAUCUCCUCUGCUUCCCGGGGCUUUACAGAAUGAAGCUUUGCGAGGUGCAUCCUAUGUUUCUCCCCUACAAAGACCAGCAUCACCUUAUGAGCAGCCAAUGGCCCCUUCCUCUCCAGUAUUGUCUAGAGCAAUGCAAAAUCAAGCAGUGAGAGAAGCAUCGUACGUUUCUCCUCUUCAAAGACCUCAGUCCCCAUAUCCUGCAUCUGUACCUUCCAGUCCAAUGCUCCCUGGAGCCAUGAGACAUGGUCAGGCACUUAGAGGUGUUGCUUCUUAUCAGACACCACAGCUCCGUUCACCAUAUGGACCAACUGUUGUCACCUCAUAUGAUUACAUCUCUGAGCCUGGCCCAGCACCCCUGCUCCACGAUGCCUUACAGCACCGGUCUGAUUUGCAGGACGUCUCGUCUUUAAGAUCUCCAUUGAUGCAACGCCGUAGCCCAUAUGUAACAGCUGGACCUCAACUCCACAGUGCAUUACAACAGAGCCCAAACCUCCGCCACGCAUCUUAUCAGACACCCAUGCAACUGAGACGGUCCCCAUAUAGGCACUCUGCUCCAAUGUUGGGAAAUGCCCUUCAAAAUUCACAGAUGAUGCAGGCAUCAUACCGGUUGCCUGAUGGGACCCUGGUAUCACCAUAUGCAGAUUCACGGUCCUCCCCACUGCUUGGUCAUGCUUUGCAAAACCAACAAGUACGUGGAGCCACAUACACCUUGCCCGAUGGGUCAGUUAUCAGGGACCCUCGUAUUCCCCUGUCUCCUAACCUUUCCAGAGCUCUUCAGAAUCAGGAUGUCAAGGCUGCUUCAUAUACUCUUCCUGAUGGCACCAUUGUUGACCCCAGACAACGACAACCAAUUUCUCCAAACCUGGCUAAGGCUUUGAACAACCCUGCUCUGCGUGAAGCUUCCUACACACUGCCCAAUGGUACCAUUGUGAUUGAACCCAAAAAACCAAAGUCUCCAAACCUGACUGCCGCACUUCAGAACCCUUACCUAAAAAGCGCAUCAUAUACCCUGCCUGAUGGCACUAUUGUCAUUGACCCAUGGAGGCCCACCUCUCCGAACCUGUCCAGUGCCCUACAAAACUCUGCCCUACGGAGCGCUUCUUUCACGCUGCCGGAUGGGGUUCAUGACCCGAAUAUACCGAUGUCACCAAACCUGGCCAAGGCCCUCAAUAACCCAGCCCUGAAAGGAGCUACGUACACCCUCCCAGAUGGAACUAUUAUAGUUGACCCCAGGAAACCAAAGAGCCCUACCUUGGCAGCUGCCCUGCAGAACCCUUAUCUACGGGGUGUGUCCUACACCCUGCCCGAUGGAACCAUCAUCAUUGACCCAAGGAAACCAGUUGGACCUGAACUAUCGAAAGCCCUUUUAAAUCAAAACCUUCGUCAUGCAACCUAUCACCUCCCUGAUGGCUCUCUGGUCAUCCCCGGCCAGAAGCCCAAUCUUUCAUCUGCUCUGAGGCGAAACACAGCACUUCGUUCAGCAGAUCUCUAUCACCUGUCAGAUGGCUCUGUGCUGUCAGGUGUGCCCAAACCGUCCCCUCCCAACGUUUCCUCUGCGCUGCAAAAUGAGGACCUCCGUGGUGUCACUUACAGGCUUCCUGACGGGUCUCUUCUUACUCGUCGGUUCCACAACCCAAGCCUGUCUGAUGCCAUCCAAAACCAGCAUCUUCGAUACGCCUCGUACAGGGUGCCAACCGCUCUGCAGGGUCAAGAUUACCGCUACGCUGUGGUUCCUCCCUAUGGGCCACGCUCAGGCCACUGGGCCAGGAAUGCUCGGGGGGGCGCGGAGGGAGGAGAGGACAUCUGGGCAGCCGAGAGGGUUUUGCCUCAUGGAACCAUCCAGCAUUUGGCAAAAUGGUCGAUGUACAAGGAAGACGGGAUGCUGGAAGGAUAUUCACCUACACCGCGGUUCGUCGACGGGCAUCCUCAAGACCCUGGAUGGAGUCCUGAGAGAGACAGAGUACCUGGUCAAAGCUGGUAUGAUAAGAUCUACUCAAUCCUAACCAUGCCCACAACGAGCCACAGGGUAAAGCGCUGGGCCGAAGGAAUGGAGGACAUGACACAGCUGCCUGAGCUGAAUGAGACCACAGUGCUGAUGAACCUGAAGAAGCGCUACGACCAGGACCUCCUCUAUACCUACAUAGGCAGCAUCCUCAUGUCCGUGAACCCCUACAAGCUGCUCAACAUCUACGGCACCGACAUGGUGCUUCAGUACGAAGGCCGCAGCCUGAGCGACAACCCUCCUCAUCUCUUUGCCAUUGCUAACCUCUCAUACUCCACCAUGAUGGAUGCCAAAAGGGACCAGUGUAUUGUGAUCAGUGGAGAAAGCGGGUCAGGAAAGACCGAAGCUACAAAACUGAUCCUGCGUUACCUGACAGCCAUACAUCACAAACGCAACGUGACACAACAGGUUGAGAUCCUGGAGGCCACGCCGCUGUUGGAGUCUUUUGGGAAUGCCAAAACAGUUAGAAACGACAACUCCUCACGCUUUGGCAAAUACACGCAGAUCUUCAUGGAGGAGGGUGUAAUCAGCGGUGCCAUAACGUCUCAGUACCUGCUGGAGAAGUCCCGCAUUGUAUUUCAGGCCAAAUCGGAGCGCAACUACCACAUCUUCUACGAGAUGCUGGCAGGUCUUCCUCCUCAGGAGAAGCGCUCGUUGUACCUGCAGGAAGCUGAGACUUAUUAUUAUCUGAAUCAGGGAGGGGACUGCACCAUAGCGGGGAAGGAUGAUGGGGAGGACUUCAGCCGUCUGCUCAGUGCCAUGGACAUCCUGUGUUUCAGCUCAGAGGAGCAGUACGGCAUCUACAGGCUGCUGUCGUCCGUGCUCCACCUCGGGAACGUCUACUUCCAGCCGCACCAGGCUGAAGGUCAGGAGGUGGCGUCCGUAGUCAGCGCGCAGGAGAUCCGGGUGGUGGCGGAGCUGCUGCAAGUGUCGCCCGAAGGCCUGCAGAAGUCUGUCACCUUUAAACUGACGGACACGGUGCGGGAGAAGAUCUACACUCCGCUCACUGUGGAGAGUGCUGUGGAUGCCAGAGAUGCUGUUGCCAAGAUCCUGUACUCGCUGCUGUUUAGUUGGCUGACAGAGCGCAUCAACGGGCGCGUCUACCCUCGCGGCGAAGCCCUCUCCAUCUCCAUACUGGACAUUUAUGGAUUUGAGGAUCUACAGGUGAACAGUUUCGAGCAGCUGUGCAUCAACUACGCCAAUGAGACCUUGCAGGCUUUCUUUAUCAAGGUCAUCUUCCAGGAGGAGCAGGAGGAGUACAUGCGAGAGCAGCUGGAGUGGCAGCAGCAGCCCUUCAGCCACAACCAGGCCUGUCUCGACCUCAUCGCCGCGAAACCGCACGGGAUCCUGCGCGUCCUGGACGACCAGUGCAGCUUCCCUCAGGCAACAGACCACACCUUCCUUCAGAAGUGCCACUAUCACCAUGGAAACAACCCGCUGUAUGCCAGGCCAAAGAUGCCACUGCCAGAGUUCACUGUGAAACACUACGCUGGGAGGGUCACCUACCAGGUGCACAAGUUCUUGGAUAAGAACUUCGACAUGGUUCGCCAGGAUGUUCUGGACCUCUUCAUCCAGAGCAAGAACAGGAUGGUAUCCAGCCUCUUCUUGAAGUACUCAGAGUCUGUGUCCCAGCAGCGGUCUAAUGUUCGGCGCGGCAGCGGGACUCGUCGUUAUCAGGCCAACACCGUCAGCGCCAAGUUCCAGAGCAGCCUGCAGGAGCUGCUGGAGAAGAUGGAACGGUGUAACCCUUACUUUGUGCGAUGCUUCAAGCCAAACAACCGGAAGGAGCCGGGGUUGUUUGACAUGGAGCUGGUCAACACUCAGCUGCAUUACUCGGGCAUCAUGGACACUGUCCACAUCAGGAAGGAGGGAUACCCGACCAGACUGCACUUUCACAGCUUCCUCUCAAGGUAUAAAGGCCUGCUGUGUUUGAAGGAUGCUCCUCCUGCAGACGGGGAGAGCUGCGUCCUCAUGCUCCACAAGCUCGGUCCGGUCAAGGCCGGUUCGUACCAGCUGGGCGUCAGCAAGAUCUUCCUGAAGGAGGACUUGUACCAGCUGCUGGAGGGGAAGCGCGACCGCCUGCUCAACGUCGCCGCCAUCACGCUGCAGAGAUUCACGCGCAUGUGCUUCGUCCGGAAGAACUUCAUGAAGUUCCGGCGGCGCGUGAUUGGGUUUGAAAGCCGCUGCAGAGGCUUCCUGGCCAGGAGAAAGUUCGCCCGGAGGAGGAAGUACCUCAUUAGGUUCCGCUCUGCGGUGCUGCUCAUCGUGAACCGGCAGCGUUACAUGAGGACAGUGGUGGAGCCUGCGAGGAAGGCGGAGGAGGAUCGCAUCAACAGGGAGGUGGUGAACGUGACCACGCUGCCCAUCCCCGCUGAGCUGGCAGCGCUGCUGCAGGCGGCCUCAGGUGGUGUGGAGCUGCACUCUGACUGCAUGGCUGUGGUCCAGGCUCCCAAGGUUCAGGUCGACCCCCAGUUGACUCUGCCGCUGGACAUCAACAACUACCUCAUGACGCACUACAUCCGAGCCAUGUUCAGGGAGCCGCUGUUUGGGAUGGUGACCGCCCCGUUGGAGAGUUCUCUGAUCCGACUGGACGACGAGCUCAAACGCGGAGCCCUGAGUGUUUUCAUUCUGAUUUUAAGGUUCAUGGGGGAUCCCAACCUGAAUGGAGCUCAGGAGAACCUCUUUGGCAACUACAUCAUCCAGAGAGGACUCUCGAACCCCAGCCUCCGGGAUGAGAUCCUGGUCCAGGUGGCCAAUCAGGUUUGGAGAAACCCAAAUAUAUUGAAUUCGGAGCGAGGCUGGCUCCUGCUCUCCUCCUGCCUCUCUGCCUUCCUGCCGUCUCAAAGACUGGCCAAGUAUCUGCUGAAGUUUGUCUCUGACUACGGGCCGGACGGGUACAGCUUCGUGUGCCAGCAUCACCUGCUCCAGGCCCUGCAGCAGCUGGACGCGGGGCCCGAGCACGGGCGCACGUACCCGCCCUGCCUCCUGGAGUGGACCGCGCACCGCAAGAGGGCGCUCACCGUGCUGCACAUCCACUGCCUGGACGGUGUGUCCUUCCUGUGUCCUCUACACUCCUGGACGACGGGGGAAGCGAUGGCCAGAGACAUCUUACAGCACAGGGGGGUGGUGGAGGCCCGGCGGGGCUGGUCGGUGCUGCUGAAGGAGCCGGCCCAGUGGGUGGAGCUGGAGGGCUCCGAUUACGUUCUGGACCUGAUGUCGGACCUGGAGCUUCCCGCCGAUUUUCCCAAACACUGCAGCUACUUCAUCAUCUCCGCGCAGGAACCGAGCCGAGUGCGGCCCAAUGCCAGCAUAAGCCUGUUGGGUGGCGGCUUCGACAAGAAGGAUGAUGUCAUAUCUUCAGCCGGACCUGGACCUGAUGGAUUCUCCAGCCACGACCUCGAGCCUCCAAGAGGGAUGGAUCGUUAUCUGGACAGCUUGUUUGAUCCUGUACUAUCCGACGGAACUGGAAUGCCCAGCAGGCUGUUUUGUCCCAGCAGCAGCAGGCGAUCGUGA
This is a long non-coding RNA of Betta splendens (Siamese fighting fish), 10229 nucleotides long. Lineage: Eukaryota; Metazoa; Chordata; Actinopteri; Anabantiformes; Osphronemidae. The record is from Ensembl.